Molecule: unclassified non-coding RNA, 275 nt
Filed under: fungal sp.
Lineage: Eukaryota; Fungi
Description: partial internal transcribed spacer region
Rfam family: Eukaryotic small subunit ribosomal RNA (bases 1-46)
Source: RNAcentral
AAGUCGUAACAAGGUUUCCGUAGGUGAACCUGCGGAAGGAUCAUUAGUGAAUUAAAGGCGGCUCUUCUGAGCGCCAAAUCUUCACCUCCUCACACUUGUGCACUGUUUUCGGAGCUGUUCGGUUGGGCUCUGGCGGGGUUGAGUUCAUUCAUUUGGGCUUUUCCUUUGCUCUGGCCGCCCCGACGGUUUCCAUCAUCAUAAACCCUAAAGUCAUUGGAUGUAUCUGUAUUUUUGAAACAAAAUAAAACUUUCAACAACGGAUCUCUUGGCUCUCC